UACAGAGGUCUCAAGCGUUGUUCGGAUUCAUUGGGCGUAAAGGGUGCGUAGGUGGCGGGGCAAGUCUGGUGUGAAAUCUCGGAGCUCAACUCCGAAACUGCACUGGAUACUGCCUUGCUCGAGUACUGGAGAGGAGAUUGGAAUUUACGGUGUAGCAGUGAAAUGCGUAGAUAUCGUAAGGAAGACCAGUGGCGAAGGCGAGUUUCUGGACGGUAACUGACGCUGAGGCACGAAGGCCAGGGGAGCAAACGGG
Molecule: ribosomal RNA, 253 nt
Filed under: uncultured bacterium
Lineage: Bacteria
Description: partial 16S ribosomal RNA
Rfam family: Bacterial small subunit ribosomal RNA
Source: RNAcentral